GGGCAAUUAGCUCAGUUUGGUUUAGAGCAUCUGUUUUACAAGCAGGAGGUCACUGGUUCAAAUCCAGUAUUGCCCACGG
Molecule: transfer RNA, 79 nt
Filed under: Blattabacterium sp. (Blattella germanica) str. Bge
Lineage: Bacteria; Pseudomonadati; Bacteroidota; Flavobacteriia; Flavobacteriales; Blattabacteriaceae
Description: tRNA-Val
Rfam family: tRNA
About the family: Transfer RNA (tRNA) molecules are approximately 80 nucleotides in length.
Source: RNAcentral